Non-coding RNA from Manis javanica (Malayan pangolin), 666 nucleotides. NCBI's taxonomy places the organism in Eukaryota, Metazoa, Chordata, Mammalia, Pholidota, Manidae. The record is from RefSeq and is a predicted model, not a curated record.
GCGGGGGCCGCGUGUCCUGCGGCGGGGGCAGCGCUGAGGGGCAGCAGAGAGAGGAUCCUGGGGGGAAUCAGGAGACCUGACUCUGCCUUUGUCACACCUGAGACAAGUCUCUCGGCGACUCUGGGAGCCUGUGUUUCCUCUUUUGCACAUAAAGCGAUUCAAGAGAGGAUUUUCAGAGCUGCUCACCAGAUUUGAAAUAAUAUGUGCAAGCUGUACCCCAAGGGCAGCUGAAAGGAAAGAGAGGGUUUCGCAUGCCCAAUUGGAAGUUCAGGGAAACUGCUUGGAGACUUGGGAAGAGUUAAAUUUAUCUUAGUUAAUAACAUGGAAAGUAAGUCCUACAGAGAAAAUCAAAGGUGUACAAUUCUAGAAUGGAUCUUCACAUCAUUCUACCUUAAAGGUAAGGAAGGUGAGGCCACAAUAACUUGUAGUAGCUCUCAUUGAAGUCACUUCAAUGACUUAGUGAAAUACAUGCAGCAUUUUACAGGCUAAUGGGCUUCCAAGGUGCAAACCCACUUGAGAGCCUCUUUCUCUUUCUCUUCCUUCAGUGUCCUUAGGCCAUGGGCAAUGCAUUCCCCAAUCACCAAAGACUAAAACUGAAACCCUACCGAACCUACCAAGAAAGUACAGAGCACAGGGCCAGUUUACCUCUGAAUCCUACAUUGCAAG